AAUGGAAUUGCUGUGUCAUAUGGUAACUGUAUGUUUAACUAUUUCAGGAACUACCAGACUAUUUUCCAUAGUGGUUAUAUCAUUUUAUGUUUUAACUAACAAU
Molecule: microRNA precursor, 103 nt
Filed under: Marmota monax (woodchuck)
Lineage: Eukaryota; Metazoa; Chordata; Mammalia; Rodentia; Sciuridae
Source: RNAcentral